RNAcentral lists this ribosomal RNA (492 nucleotides) under uncultured bacterium. RNAcentral's name for it is "partial 16S ribosomal RNA". It matches the Rfam family "Bacterial small subunit ribosomal RNA", at positions 29 to 507 of the family's 1533-position model. The record is from RNAcentral.
AGUGAACGCUGGCGGUAGGCCUAACACAUGCAAGUCGAACGGCAGCACAGUAAGAGCUUGCUCUUACGGGUGGCGAGUGGCGGACGGGUGAGGAAUACAUUGGAAUCUACUUUUUCGUGGGGGAUAACGUAGGGAAACUUACGCUAAUACCGCAUACGACCUACGGGUGAAAGCAGGGGAUCUUCGGACCUUGCGCGAUUGAAUGAGCCGAUGUCGGAUUAGCUAGUUGGCGGGGUAAAGGCCCACCAAGGCGACGAUCCGUAGCUGGUCUGAGAGGAUGAUCAGCCACACUGGAACUGAGACACGGUCCAGACUCCUACGGGAGGCAGCAGUGGGGAAUAUUUGACAAUGGGCGCAAGCCUGACCCAGCCAUACCGCGUGGGUGAAGAAGGCCUUCGGGUUGUAAAGCCCUUUUGUUGGGAAAGAAAAGCAGCAGGUUAAUACCCCGCUGUUCUGACGGUACCCAAAGAAUAAGCACCGGCUACCUUCGUG